Molecule: ribosomal RNA, 496 nt
Filed under: uncultured bacterium
Lineage: Bacteria
Description: partial 16S ribosomal RNA
Rfam family: Bacterial small subunit ribosomal RNA
Source: RNAcentral
GAUGAACGCUGGCGGCGUGCCUAAUACAUGCAAGUCGAGCGAACAGACGAGGAGCUUGCUCCUCUGACGUUAGCGGCGGACGGGUGAGUAACACGUGGAUAACCUACCUAUAAGACUGGGAUAACUUCGGGAAACCGGAGCUAAUACCGGAUAAUAUAUUGAACCGCAUGGUUCAUUAGUGAAAGACGGUUUUGCUGUCACUUAUAGAUGGAUCCGCGCCGCAUUAGCUAGUUGGUACGGUAACGGCUUACCAAGGCGACGAUGCGUAGCCGACCUGAGAGGGUGAUCGGCCACACUGGAACUGAGACACGGUCCAGAAUCUGACGGGAGGCAGCAGUAGGGAAUCUUCCGCAAUGGGCGAAAGCCUGACGGAGCAACGCGGCGUGAGUGAUGAAGGGCUUCGGAUCGUAAAACGCUGUUAUUAGGGAAGAACAAAUGUGUAAGUAACUAUGCACGUCUGGACGGUACAUAAUCAGAAAACCACGGCUAACUACGU